UAAUAGAGAACAUAGUCAAACACAAAAACAGCAUUUAGGAUUUAGAACAAAUCAACAGACAAGGACUAAAAAUAAUGGCUUUAAUUAAUAACCGUAUUUCUGUAAAACAGGUCUCUGAAACGUAUUAAACUCGUUUUGAGAUCUGUUAUGAGAUAUAAAACAACACAGUUCAUGAACCAUCAGUAAAAAAAUCAACACCUAAUUAUGCAAUAAUACAGAACUGAAAUCUUAAGUAUAUAGCAUGCAUAAGUAUUUCACAUUUGAGACAUAAAUAAUAUCAUACAAAGAUUAAAAACUUUCUAUAGCCUAACUUUUCUUUUAAUGAGUUAUCUUUGUACUCCAGUUUAACACAAAAAGCUAAAUAUUGACGAAAACAAUAUUAACUAAACCCUGAUAAAUUGUUCGUUGAUAUGCAAUAGUGCAUAUGGCUUAUUAUAAUAAUUUAUCAAGUAUUAAGAGCGUUCCUCAUAUUUCUUACAAGAGAGAAGAUGCUGCUUUGACAUGCUCUGGACUCCUCGCAUCUGCUGGAGAUGUUGAGCCUCAUAGUUAAUUACAGUUGUAAGAUUUGUUUUUUUAUUAUUAUUAUUAUUAUUAUUGUAGUAGAGCUAGUUGGAUUGGCGGGGGAACGGAAGUAGUUUGUGCAUGCUAAUGAAGGAGUCGGGGUUGUGGAUAUUUACGUUCAACGGGAGCCGCCCUUCAUUCACCACAUGGUUAAAAGCAACGCGCGCUCGCGGCACUUUCGCAAUCUUACUACGGUUUUGUAACGCGACCCAAAGCGUGCUCGGAUGCUGCGUUUCCACCGUCGGCGCUACAAGUUUACGUUACCGUGUAGUUUCGACGUUUUCCCCGGAGCGUUGACAGUAAACGAAGAACCAUCGACCACCUCACCUUACACCAGGUGGCACGAAACGAUGUGGUCCGCCACUAACCCCAUCCCAAAAGUGGAUCUUCUUGGUUCCUCUUGGCCGUGAGCUCGUCGACUCCAUGUCAGUGUAGUGCCAAAGUGCUUACAGUGCAGGUAGUUCUGUCAAAUCUACUGCAGUGGAGGCACUUCAAGCUCUACUUUGACAUGUACACACACAAGCGGCGUCGUGAACUACUGCUUGUGCUAAGGUGCAUUUAGUGCAGAUAGUGAAAUAGACUAGCACCUACUGCCCUAAGUGCCCCUUCUGGCAUAAGGGGCUGGCAAAUCCCGCUGUUCCCCAUUGGCUGUCCCCUAUUCUCUCAUUUCAUGCAGUUCUCUGCUAGUUUUGCAUAGUUGCACUACAAGAAAUAUUGAGUUGUGCAAAUCUAUGCAAAACUGAUGGUGGCCUGCUUCCCCAUCCUUCCCUGUGCUUCUCGCUUUGACUGUUUCUGCUUAAGCGUGCAUGUGCGUGUGUGUUUCAGGUUAACACUCACUCUGGUUCCAGCAGUAUUAAAGUGCUUAUAGUGCAGGUAGUUCAGUAAAAUGCCUAUCUACUGCAAUGUGAGCACUUCAAGUACUUCUAGAUGCGAGCGUCGAGGAGAGAGCUUGAUCUUCGUGUUUUACUGUGCACACUGUCCUGGUUAGUUUUGCUGGUUUGCAGUCAGCGUUCGUAUCGUUGCUGUGCAAAUCCAUGCAAAACUGAUCGUAACAGUGAGGAGUCUCCUCUUCCAUCACACUCCUGCUUCCCUGUCUUUGCAGGUUGGGAUCAGCCGCAAUGCUCUGCGCUGGAAGUAUUGCACUUGUCCCGGCCUGUGAAGAGCAUGGGAAAUUAUCCAGCUGCUUUUUUCAAUAAAAUUGUAACAUUUUAUAUAAAAAAAAUUCUUCCCUUCCGGUCUUGUUAUAAUUUGACCGUCACAAUAAAAGUUUUACAUGC
Molecule: long non-coding RNA, 1838 nt
Organism: Carassius auratus (goldfish)
Lineage: Eukaryota; Metazoa; Chordata; Actinopteri; Cypriniformes; Cyprinidae
Exons: 2
Source: RefSeq, a predicted model, not a curated record